This is a non-coding RNA of Bemisia tabaci, 1495 nucleotides long. The record is from RefSeq and is a predicted model, not a curated record. Lineage: Eukaryota; Metazoa; Arthropoda; Insecta; Hemiptera; Aleyrodidae.
CUAGUUCCUGGAAUAAUCGUUCCUUGCCGAUACUUCCAGGGUUGUAUUUAUUAUCUAAAUAAUUAUCAGGCAAAUGUUUUCAAAAGGAUUAAAAUACAAAAACUGGCUUUCUAUAAUCAUUAUAGCGGCUGAUUUUCACUCAUUUUCAUACGCAACCUCGAUAAAAAGGCAAAAGGCGGAACCGCGGAAUGGUCCCUCGUCCAACUGUUCGAUGUCCAACUCGCACUCGGAACUCCGGCCGGACCAUUUUUCAAUUCAAUCCACCCAGCCAGCCAAGCCAUGCCAUGCCGUGAAUUUCAAAAUGAAAACUUAAUUUGAUCUACUUUUCAUGAUUCUUAACGAAGAAUCGAUUGUAUUAUCGGCGUCUACUUGACUAUACUCAGUUUCAUCGAACACAGAUCGACACUUCCAGGAGCUUGCCUUAUCAGAUGUACAUUGCUGCUCAGUGCCAUUUGCUCUAUGCCUGUAGAUGUUUCCUGUCAUGUGUGGAAGGAACGUCGGGUAGAGAAUCGAUGGCUACCUUAAUAUCAUCAAUGAUCGUAGUAAAUCGUGAAAUUAUUUAAGCUGUGGAUCUAUGAUGUCGCAUCUUUUGAAAAAUGCUUUCUCCUCUAAAACUAAACUGAAAAAUCGUGUUGUGUCAGUGCUUUUCUGAGAGUGGUGUUCUGUAUUGAUCAGCUAUUAAAUCAUGGUGCUAAUUUUUCUCUUACGUUAAAGAGUGCUUUAGAUAUUUUUACAAUGCACUCAUCGUGUUUUCAAAAGUUCCUUCGUACCUGCACCAGUUCUAAUCGGAAAUUUGGAUUCAUUGUCUUCAAGUGGAUUUUUCUGACCCAGUGGAUUACAGACUUGAGCGAGUUGGUGAGUGUUGUUUGUUCAUUUUCUAUUUUAUUGAGUAUGUCUGCAUGACAGAUGUCAUCCAUUAUUACUUUGCAUGAUGCAUAUUUAGCUGAAAGAUUCUCUUUACACAUGCCUAGUGGAAGAUACAUGUGGGUUUGGAACUGCUAACAUGCGAACUUUGAAAAACUACGCUGCUAUGAUAUAGAAAAUCCUACAAGUCCAAGAAGGUCUAUGCGCUGAUAUCAAUUACAUACUGACAUAUACCCGUCAAACAAGUUCCCAUGGCUGUCAUAGAUGGCCUGCCCACAAAGUAUGUCUGAAAGGGUGGCCCUAAUUUUCAUCAGGGAGCUUUGAGUACACCAUGUACUUUUUAAGAUUAUUGUGCUUAUUAUUGCUUUCACUUGAGUGUAGAUGUAAGUACAUACUAAGCUUUUAUCCAUCAUACAUUUUGGCACAUUUCUUUAAUUAUUGAGCUUCAUAAAAUUUCAGGUACUUGAUUUUCAGGGGCUGAGAUCGAAAUCAUAUCAUUAAAAAAAAUUGGUUCCAGCAAUUCUUUUCAAAUUCUUUACAAAAAAAUUUAGAGGAUUUAAUAACUGAAGAUAAAAACAUAACAUGCUAAACACUACCUUCUGAUGAAAAAGUACUUAAGUGAUGACCAAAA